Molecule: long non-coding RNA, 480 nt
Organism: Bactrocera tryoni
Lineage: Eukaryota; Metazoa; Arthropoda; Insecta; Diptera; Tephritidae
Exons: 2
Source: RefSeq, a predicted model, not a curated record
AAAGCAAAAUAAAGAAUGCAAUUUUAUAUUUAAAAAAUAAAAAAGAAACUAAUUUUUAUUUUUUUUUUCGAGAUGGCAGAUGCAAAGCAAAUUAUUGCGCGAAUGCCCCGUAGUAGCGGCAAAGACGCUCCACUCAAUUAGCUGCGUCAUAGGUGAUAUGAAGGACCAGCAUUAUUUGGAGUUCGCUCUGCCCUUGUCAUCGGAAGGACACGUACCCUUCGUUUAAGAAAAGAUGCGGAUUUCCAGUGCUAUUUCCACUAAGUCAAUUAAUCAGAGACAUAGUCUUCCUUGGGACUUCUACAACCGCACAUAAUUAUAUACAUAGACGUAUAUAUAUAUAACAACUUAUGUAAAUAAUGCAUUAAUUAUUUAAUAUAAUAUAAAAUUAUAUUUUUAGCCGAAUAUACACCUAACUUUAUCCAAUCUAUAUAAAUAAAAAUAAAUCGCCAAAUUGUAUGUACGCUCAUAACUCCGCCUGGA